This 429-nucleotide ribosomal RNA is filed under the name Gemmatimonadota bacterium. RNAcentral's name for it is "Gemmatimonadetes bacterium partial 16S ribosomal RNA". It matches the Rfam family "Bacterial small subunit ribosomal RNA", at positions 355 to 776 of the family's 1533-position model. The record is from RNAcentral. Lineage: Bacteria; Pseudomonadati; Gemmatimonadota.
UAGGGAAUCUUCGGCAAUGGACGAAAGUCUGACCGAGCAACGCCGCGUGAGUGAAGAAGUUUUUCGGAUCGUAAAACUCUGUUGUUUGAGAAGAACAAGGACGUUAGUAACUGAACGUCCCCUGACGGUAUCUAACCAGAAAGCCACGGCUAACUACGUGCCAGCAGCCGCGGUAAUACGUAGGUGGCAAGCGUUGUCCGGAUUUAUUGGGCGUAAAGCGAGCGCAGGCGGUUUCUUAAGUCUGAUGUGAAAGCCCCCGGCUCAACCGGGGAGGGUCAUUGGAAACUGGGAGACUUGAGUGCAGAAGAGGGGAGUGGAAUUCCAUGUGUAGCGGUGAAAUGCGUAGAUAUAUGGAGGAACACCAGUGGCGAAGGCGGAUCUCUGGUCUGUAACUGACGCUGAGGCUCGAAAGCGUGGGGAGCAAACAGG